This is a non-coding RNA of Triticum urartu, 115 nucleotides long. The record is from Rfam. NCBI's taxonomy places the organism in Eukaryota, Viridiplantae, Streptophyta, Magnoliopsida, Poales, Poaceae.
CACAUACUCCCUCCGUUCCAAAUUACUCGUCGCAGAAAUGAAUGUAUCUAGAACUAAAAUACAUCUAGAUACAUCCAUUUCUGCGACGAGUAAUUCGGAACGGAGGGAGUAGUUA